Camellia sinensis is the source of this 385-nucleotide non-coding RNA. Lineage: Eukaryota; Viridiplantae; Streptophyta; Magnoliopsida; Ericales; Theaceae. The record is from RefSeq and is a predicted model, not a curated record.
AUACAUAUAUGGAUAGGCCAUGUGAGUUAGGGGUUUUAUCAUUUUGAAGUCAAAUAAAAUAUCUAAGGGAGAGGGAGAGAGAGAACCGUGAAAGAGAGAUAGAGAGGGAAAGAGGAUCAUCCAUGGAAGCUUGGAAAAUUGAAGAGAUUAAAGUGGAAAAACAAGGAAUUAAGUUAAGGUCGAAACGAGGACACCGUCCCAUUGCUACCGGGAGCCGAUCACUUGGUAAACAAACAUUUAUGACGAUUGGAAAUCAGUGUGAACUUAUAUGAACAUUGAAAGAUUUGCGCACAUCGGUAUGACUUUGGAAUCCUUUUGUUCUGUCAAUAACAAAUAUUAACCCUCUAUUAUUUAUCAGCAUACUACGUUACUUCUUAAAGAAUAA